Molecule: ribosomal RNA, 468 nt
Filed under: uncultured bacterium
Lineage: Bacteria
Description: partial 16S ribosomal RNA
Rfam family: Bacterial small subunit ribosomal RNA
Source: RNAcentral
GACGAACGCUGGCGGCGUGCUUAACACAUGCAAGUCGAACGGAAAGGCCCUGCUUUUGUGGGGUGCUCGAGUGGCGAACGGGUGAGUAACACGUGAGUAACCUGCCCUUGACUUUGGGAUAACUUCAGGAAACUGGGGCUAAUACCGGAUAGGAGCUCCUGCUGCAUGGUGGGGGUUGGAAAGUUUCGGCGGUUGGGGAUGGACUCGCGACUUAUCAGCUUGUUGGUGGGGUAGUGGCUUACCAAGGCUUUGACGGGUAGCCGGCCUGAGAGGGUGACCGGCCACAUUGGGACUGAGAUACGGCCCAGACUCCUACGGGAGGCAGCAGUGGGGAAUAUUGCACAAUGGGCGGAAGCCUGAUGCAGCAACGCCGCGUGCGGGAUGACAGCCUUCGGGUUGUAAACCGCUUUCGCCUGUGACGAAGCGUGAGUGACGGUAAUGGGUAAAGAAGCACCGGCUAACUACGUG